Molecule: long non-coding RNA, 847 nt
Organism: Herpailurus yagouaroundi (jaguarundi)
Lineage: Eukaryota; Metazoa; Chordata; Mammalia; Carnivora; Felidae
Exons: 6
Source: RefSeq, a predicted model, not a curated record
CCGAGAACACCUCUCUCUGGGGCAGCUCUGUCCUCAGGGUCUCGCCGCGGAUCACGUACGCCUGGGAUAUAUAGGGCACAUUCCACACGCCCCUGGAGGCACCCGCACCGGGGUCAGUUCCACGUAGUCCUCGGACCGAGCGUAGUACUCGUCAGGGCUCAGGGCUCCCCAGAAGUUGGACCACAGCUUCCCGUGGCGGGACAGCAUGGGCGCUAUCACCUUCCUGUGGAUGGGCAGAGGAUGCGCAGGGUCUGCUGGUUGGUGAUGACGGCGUCAGCAUCCAGGCUGAAGUAGAAUUCGCACUCGGGGUCCUGCCGACAGCUGUCCCUGGAGGAUUGUUGGGUUAAACGAAAUUACAGAAGUAGAGCCCCGACCCAGAGCCUUGGCACAAACCUUGGGCACUCUGCCACUCACCACCAGAGUUGAGGAAGCGCUUCCCCGUGCCCACCUCAGGGUACUGCUCCGCCAGCCCCCACUCGGGCCAGCAGAAGCCCUCGGCAGAGAAGAGCAGGCGGCUCCCACUCUGGACGAACUUCUUCAGCAGCUCGGAGGGGCUGCCAGCCAGAAUCACGUCGUAGCUGGGCGAAGAAGAGGGGCCUGAGCAGGACAGCCACUAGGAACCUCGGAAACGCCGGUAUCCUUCCGUCUUGGCUGUGGCCACCGUGAUCACCAGCAGCUUCUCUGUCACCAGCCGGGAAUUGGCGCUCGGGACCCGCUCACCCAGCUCACUGCCCCACGAGUUCCGCUCACCGCAGGCCCCCUUGCCCUCCCUCCGACUCUGCCCCUGUCCUCCUAUUAUUUUUAUUUUUAUUUUUCCGAUUCCCUCUUAAACUCUUCUCAACCAAAA